AUUUAUCUACUGCUAGUUAAAUCUCUGGAUUUAACUCUGAUGAAAGACCUGAGGCUGAAGGGGAACUUCAAUGUCAUAUAUUUUAAAGGUUGACUCACAGUUUGGAGCAAGAAUUAAAGAACCACGAACAUCAAGGCUGGAUGAAGUGGCUCAUGCCUGUAAUCCAAGCACUUUGACAGGCUGAGGCGGGCGGAUGGCUUGAGCCCAGGAGUCUGAGACCAGCCUGGAAAACAUAGAGAAACCCUGUCUCAAUAUAAGAAGAAGAAGAAAAAGAAAAAAAAAAAUCAAAAACGAAAACAACACAAAUUUUAGAGUGAUGUAAAAUUCUCAAACAAUGAGAUAGAUAAAAAGUACGCAGCCAAAAAAUGCAGGAAGAAGUGUUAUAGAGAUGGAGCAGGCCCUUCAUAAAAACACGAUGUUGGUUUUCUGGAUUUUGGAGGCCCCACAAAACCUGGAUCAGACUCGCCCACUGCCCUGUGUCUGCCCGACCAACCACCUCUCCUGCCCAGCAGGGAUGUGGGUGGCAGUGGUGCUGUGUGGAGGGUGGCGGGAGGACUGGGGAGACUGUGACCGGUGAGCCGGGAGGCCUUGGGAUGGCCUCUCUCUGAAUCAUCCUGUGCACUGCCAGAGGCUCCUAGAAUCCUGCCUCAAGUGGCCGCCUUCACAGAGGGAGUCACUCACGUUCCUGCUCAGUGCGGCCCUGGCCUGUGGGGGCCCCUCUACUCACGAGAAACCCCCA
Molecule: long non-coding RNA, 739 nt
Filed under: Pongo abelii (Sumatran orangutan)
Lineage: Eukaryota; Metazoa; Chordata; Mammalia; Primates; Hominidae
Description: lincRNA
Source: RNAcentral